UACGGAGGUUCCAAGCGUUGUUCGGAUUUAUUGGGCUUAAAGGGUGCGUAGGCGGCGUAUUAAGUCGGGUGUGAAAUCUCGGAGCUUAACUCCGAAACUGCAUUCGAUACUGCUGUGCUUGAGGACUGGAGAGGAGACUGGAAUUUACGGUGUAGCGGUGAAAUGCGUAGAUAUCGUAAGGAAGACCAGUGGCGAAGGCGGGUCUCUGGACAGUUCCUGACGCUGAGGCACGAAGGUCAGGGGAGCAAACGGG
Molecule: ribosomal RNA, 253 nt
Filed under: uncultured bacterium
Lineage: Bacteria
Description: partial 16S ribosomal RNA
Rfam family: Bacterial small subunit ribosomal RNA
Source: RNAcentral